GAAGUUUCCUGCAGCGUGUCUCAUUAAAGAUGGAGACUUGAAGCAGCUGCUGCAACAAGAGGAACUGAAAACCGAUUCUCUUAAAUGACUCAUUUCACAUUUUCCUGUUUGUUUGUUGGACCCUCAGAAGAAACGUGAAUGUGCAGAUCAGCAUGUGGAGGCUGCAGGGCAGACUCACCCCCAGCAGAACCCUGGUGUAGAACCACUUGUCCGUCAGGAAGGCCAUGUAGAAAUGCACAAACAGGAAGGCGUUGAUCCCGAGCCAGACCAGCUGCAGCACACAUCCACACACACGUCAGGUUCACAGAUUAACAUCCAGAGCGGCAGGAGUCACUCACAACUCAAGGAAACAACUCAAUCAGCUCAGAGGAUCAUAACGUUUUCUGCCUCCGGACACGAAGAAGAAUUAAACAUCGUCGGUGUUUUCAGGACCUGAAAUGUGGACGGUGGUGCAGCGGGGUUCAAGCAGGGUCUUGAACGCGUGUCCCCUUGAGGACAGGUGACGGUUGAGGAGGAACUAGACACUCGAUGGAGACACUGAGGUGGAACCAACACCUGAAGAUCUUGACGCUGGAGCCUCGGACCUCAACUGAGCUGCUUCGAUUAUCGAUCCUCACAAUAACGUGAAGGUCGUGACACAUAGGGAGAGGGUGUGUCAUCAUUUGAAACGCAGUGUUAAACAUCUGUAUGUGGAAGAAGAAGCUUCGUGUGAGCGGCUGCAGACGUUCCUCCAUCCAUCAUGUGUGAGAACAUCAGAGUACAGAUACAGACUGUGGAAUACACCCAACAACUGAAACGUGAUCAGUUGUUAUCGGGGCUUAAGACGGAAACAGCGAUGUGUGUUCUCCAACUCUCACUCUGGAUUAAGGUCCAUCAGAUCACUGCUGAUUGUCCAGAGGAUUUAACUUGGUAGAUUACGUCCCAGCAGCCGAGGUUAAACCCUGAACCGUGAGCGGGAGCUUUUCCUCUUCCCUGCGAGGCCGAGCAAGGCAGCGGUCUCUGUUGUACAGUUUUAUUAAAGAUUGAAGAGCAUGAAUGUACAGUAUAAAUAAUAGUAGAGAUAUGAUCCCAGCUGCAGAUGAUGAACGUGCACGUUAAAGUGCGUCUCUGCCACUUGGCAGGAAACAGAAGAACCUCGCUGGUGACUGAAGCAGCUUCACAAUAAAAUAAAGAAUAAAACAUGCAGAGGAAAUUAAUCUUUAAAGGAAAACAUUUGAAAAAUAAAAGAACCAAUAUGUCUUAUAUAUAGGAAUCUGGUGUGUGUGUGUGUGUG
Hippoglossus stenolepis (Pacific halibut) is the source of this 1273-nucleotide long non-coding RNA. RefSeq lists it as uncharacterized. Lineage: Eukaryota; Metazoa; Chordata; Actinopteri; Pleuronectiformes; Pleuronectidae. The record is from RefSeq and is a predicted model, not a curated record. The transcript is spliced from 4 exons.